UACGUAGGGUCCGAGCGUUGUCCGGAUUUAUUGGGCGUAAAGAGCGUGUAGGCGGCCAGAUAGGUCCGUUGUGAAAACUCGAGGCUCAACCUCGAGACGCCGAUGGAAACCAUUUGGCUAGAGUCCGGAAGAGGAGAGUGGAAUUCCAGGUGUAGCAGUGAAAUGCGUAGAUAUCAGGAGGAAUACCGAUGGCGAAGGCAGGUCUCUGGGCUAUAACUGACGCUCAUGCACGAAAGCGUGGGGAGCAAACAGG
Molecule: ribosomal RNA, 253 nt
Filed under: uncultured bacterium
Lineage: Bacteria
Description: partial 16S ribosomal RNA
Rfam family: Bacterial small subunit ribosomal RNA
Source: RNAcentral